AAAGAGACAGCAGUGCAGGUUUGAUGGGUGGAACAGAAAGAAGGGAGGGAAAGAGGAAAAAGUUACUUUAGCAGCAAAAUGUCCAAGGUUCUAACCACAAUCAAAUUAACGGAUAUCUGGCGGUAAAAAACAAGGUUGAAGGGAUGCUGCCCUGAUCCAUUCGUCUUUGCUAAAAUAAUUCAGCUGUAAAAACUCCAAAAUGUGACAUAUUGAAGGACAGUUUUGUAACAUAAGCAACUUCCUAGCUUGUCCUCCAUGUUAUUGACCAUCGUUAUCACUUAAAUAUAUGUACAAGAAUUAAGCUGCUUUUCUCCUCGGCCACAUGCUCCUGGUCACUACUGAAGUCAGUGCCGUGGGCGUGCUAAUCCCAUAACAGCUUCCAAGUGUUUCUGCUCCACUACUGCCACAACAGCCCACGCCCUGCUCUCCCCACUGCUGUUGGCGUGCACUGCAAGGGAGUUCCUAAUGGUCAUUCUGCUUGUCUCUCAUCCAGGCUUGGAUUUGCUCUUUAAGUUCUGGCACUGAUAGGGUAAAAAAAAAGAAAAAAGAAUGAUUAAAUUACUUAGUAAUACAACUACAAGAGAGCUCCUCAUGAUCAAUGGAGAUUUCUUCUCUAGUGACCUGAUCAGGAUUAUCUACUACUGUUGUCUUCUCCCUCAAUGCAGUUUCUGCACAGCUUUGGACAGUCACUAUUUAGGAAACUCCACUUGCCUCUGAAUUCAUCCGGAGCAUCGCUGUAAUCAAUCUCUGCACGGGCGUUCUUGGCAACAAUUUCCUCCACUUUCUCUGCCAGCAGUUUGAAUUUCUCUAUUGCUAUGGUGGACUUGAUUCCAGCCUUUCUCAUCUUGGAGAUAACCUCCUCAAAGAGCUCUUUACUGUAGGACCUCUAAAAGCAAAGCACAAAAAGACAACUUUGCUGAGUUGUAGGAUCCUCACCUGCCAUAAAAAUGCUGAAGAUAUUUUAAUGCACUUUUAAAACUGCAGAAGAAGGGAUCGAUGAAACCUCAAGCUUACAUCAGAUUCAAAAGCAGUAUGUGGUAACAUUUCAUCUAGCACCAAAAGGUCAACUUUGGGGUACACUUAUGAUUCUUUUUUUUACUAGUCAUCACCACUGUAGGACUGUUCAGGACCAAAAAAAGGCAACAUCACCUAAAGAAAAUGAGGAAGUCACUCAGAGAGGCUGACUAUGAUUAUCAGGAUUGUUCCUCACACAAAACAUCUGUCUUGCCACUCUCCUGUCUGUAUUAUUGUUCUCACAAGUCUUGGCUGCAAACACAGCACAAAAUGAAUUAAUUUUUUUAAUUUCUUAAUUUCUCUGUUAAUGUGCAAGGCAGCACUGGGAAAGAAGUGAUUCUUUCUCCUAAUCCAAAGAAGAACUAACAGAAAAGCCACCCCAUGAUGUUGCAAAAAUAGUAAGGCAGCUCAGAGGGAGCAAAUGCUGGAGAUUUGCCAACCGGUGCAGUAGGAAUAUCCAGAGAGACCAAAUGCAUAUCCUGUAGUUCCCACAAAGCAAGCAUUGCUCUCAUGUGAAAAAUCGAGUUACGGAAGGACUUUUGUAGCUGCUUCUGUUCUACAGACACUGUUUCCUUUUAACUUCACAGUGCCGUGUUUUGAUGUAAACCUUUUAAUAAAAAAACACUAUUUACACUGCA
Molecule: long non-coding RNA, 1652 nt
Organism: Pipra filicauda (Wire-tailed manakin)
Lineage: Eukaryota; Metazoa; Chordata; Aves; Passeriformes; Pipridae
Exons: 2
Source: RefSeq, a predicted model, not a curated record